GAAAUGCGAUAAGUAAUGUGAAUUGCAGAAUUCAGUGAAUCAUCCAAUCUUUGAACGCACCUUGCGCUCCUUGGUAUUCCUUGGAGCAUGCCUGUUUGAGUAUCAUGAAAUCUUCAAAGUAAAUCUUUUGUUAACUCAAUUGGUUUCUACUUUGGUAUUGGAGGUCUUUGCAGCUUCACACCUGCUCCUCUUUGUUCAUUAGCUGGAUCUCAGUGUUAUGCUUGGUUCCACUCGGCGUGAUAAGUUAUCUAUCGCUGAGGACACUGUAAAAGGUGGCCAAGGUAAAUGCAGAUGAACCGCUUCUAAUAGUCCAUUGACUUGGACAAUACUUUUAUGAUCUGAUCUCAAAUCAGGUAGGACUACCCGCUGAACUUAAGC
This 378-nucleotide unclassified non-coding RNA is filed under the name plant metagenome. RNAcentral's name for it is "partial contains 5.8S ribosomal RNA, internal transcribed spacer 2, and large subunit ribosomal RNA". The stretch from base 1 to 105 matches the Rfam family "5.8S ribosomal RNA", at positions 50 to 154 of the family's 154-position model. The record is from RNAcentral.